CCUACGGGAGGCUGCAGUAGGGAAUCUUCCACAAUGGACGAAAGUCUGAUGGAGCAACGCCGCGUGAGUGAAGAAGGGUUUCGGCUCGUAAAGCUCUGUUGGUAGUGAAGAAAGAUAGAGGUAGUAACUGGCCGUUAUUUGACGGUAAUUACUUAGAAAGUGACGGCUAACUACGUGCCAGCAGCCGCGGUAAUACGUAGGUGGCAAGCGUUGUCCGGAUUUAUUGGGCGUAAGGCGAGUGCAGGCGGUUCAAUAAGUCUGAUGUGAAAGCCCUCGGCUCAACCGGAGAAUUGCAUUAGAAACUGGUGAACUUGAGUGCAGAAGAGGAGAGGGGAACGCCAUGUGAAGCGGUGGAAUGCGUAGAUAUAUGGAAGAACACCAGAGGCGAAGGCAGCUCUCUGGGCUGCAACUGACGCUGAGGCUCGAAAGCAUGGGUAGCGAACAGGAUUAGAUACCCUGGUAGUC
RNAcentral lists this ribosomal RNA (465 nucleotides) under uncultured bacterium. Its description in RNAcentral is "partial 16S ribosomal RNA". It matches the Rfam family "Bacterial small subunit ribosomal RNA", at positions 338 to 795 of the family's 1533-position model. The record is from RNAcentral.